GGGAGCUUUAAAAUAUACAGAUCCUUGCAUCCCAUGCUCAAAAAUCUAAUUCACUGAACCCCAAAACUGUAUUUUUUUAAAGUGACUGGGGUAAGGAUUUCUUACAGAGAACGUAAAAAACACUAUCCAUGAAAGAGAAGCUGAUACACCGUCCUUGAAACUAUAAAUGUCCAUUCAUUAAAAGAGAAUGAAAAGUCAACCAACAGACUGGGAGAAGAUAUUUUCAAUAUAUGUAUUCUACAAAGAUCUAGGACCAGCAUAUAUGAAGAAGUCCUACAAAUCAACAAGAACAAUUAAAAAUCAACAACUGAUUUUUUUUUUUUUAGGUAAAAAAAGACACAGACACUUCACCAAUGAAGAUAAAUGAAUGACCAUAUACAUAUGAAAAGCUUAACUCAUAACUCAUCAGGGAAAGGUAAAUUAAAACCACAGCGACAUACGAUCACCAGUAGCACUCUAGUAUUCAACAAGCAACUUUCCAGGAAUUAAAGCUUUUCUUUGGCGUCAAUACUCCCAUGAGGGCUGACGUUAAGCCAAGGUGACUUCGCUGAUCGCAUAAUGAGGAAGCGAUGUAGACAAUGGACGUUUACAAGCCACACAGGCUGGUUCCAGCACAUCACUGAGACCACUACACAACUGCCAUGAAGGCUAAAAUGAAAAAGUCUGACCAUACCAAGUGCUGGCUUAGUUGCUAACAUCUAGAAGAAAACAGCUUCUGCUCUCUUUCUUCGUCCAAGAGGACAAGACCUCCUGACCAGAAAUCAAGGCACAGCUGAGGCUGACUGAGCAGAUGCUAUUCCCUGCACUGGAAGGGAGGGCCAGCGUCAGGCAUGACCUUUGCUCCUUGGUGCCGCCUCCUUCACCACCCACCGCCAGCCUGCUCGCCACCUUGGGGCCAUUAGCAUUUUUAAGGUUCUUAUUCCCAUACACAUCCUGCCCUGGGAUUGUCUCUUCCUCGAGGUAUUAGCACCUUCCACUUGCCUUUUAUCACCCCAGCCCCGCCUGCCUGGGGUCAGCCUUCAAUCCACAAGCGUCUGGGGAAGAGCCAGGAAGCCUGCUCACACUCCUUUCACAGUUCAUCCCUUUCCGUCGGAGGCAUGUCCUGAGGUCCCGAGCCCCCUCCCACCUUUUCUCCCUUCCCCCCCACGAGAGGUGUUCCCAUAAUCAUUGGGCAUCAGUCGGCUCUAAUCAACCCCCUGUUUUGACUAUUUUAGCAGCAAUAAAAGGGCCAUAAAGAGAAAG
Molecule: long non-coding RNA, 1242 nt
Organism: Leopardus geoffroyi (Geoffroy's cat)
Lineage: Eukaryota; Metazoa; Chordata; Mammalia; Carnivora; Felidae
Exons: 3
Source: RefSeq, a predicted model, not a curated record